CGCGGGGUGGAGAAGCAUGGCAUCUCACUAGGCUCAUAACCUAGAGACCGCAGGUUCAAAUCCUGCUCCCGCUA
Corchorus olitorius is the source of this 74-nucleotide non-coding RNA. The record is from Rfam. NCBI's taxonomy places the organism in Eukaryota, Viridiplantae, Streptophyta, Magnoliopsida, Malvales, Malvaceae.